This 493-nucleotide ribosomal RNA is filed under the name Enterococcus durans. RNAcentral describes it as "bacterial SSU rRNA". It matches the Rfam family "Bacterial small subunit ribosomal RNA", at positions 46 to 509 of the family's 1533-position model. The record is from RNAcentral. Lineage: Bacteria; Bacillati; Bacillota; Bacilli; Lactobacillales; Enterococcaceae.
GCCUAAUACAUGCAAGUCGUACGCUUCUUUUUCACCGGCGCUUGCUCCACCGGAAAAAGAAGAGUGGCGAACGGGUGAGUAACACGUGGGUAACCUGCCCAUCAGAAGGGGAUAACACUUGGAAACAGGUGCUAAUACCGUAUAACAAUCGAAACCGCAUGGUUUUGAUUUGAAAGGCGCUUUCGGGUGUCGCUGAUGGAUGGACCCGCGGUGCAUUAGCUAGUUGGUGAGGUAACGGCUCACCAAGGCCACGAUGCAUAGCCGACCUGAGAGGGUGAUCGGCCACAUUGGGACUGAGACACGGCCCAAACUCCUACGGGAGGCAGCAGUAGGGAAUCUUCGGCAAUGGACGAUAGUCCGGACGCGAGCAACGCCGCGUGAGUGAAGAAGGUUUUCGGAUCGUAAACUCUGUUGUUAGAGAAGAACAAGGGAUGAGAGUAACUGUUCCUCCCCUUCCCGGUAUCUACCAGAAAGCCACGGCUAACUACGUGCC